GUUUGUUCGAUUAUGAUUCUUAAUGUGGCAAUUUGGUCAAUACAUGAUCUCUCCUGUCUGAAACCGGCCUGUUCGUCUCUUAGUAACUUAUCAACUUUUUCUUUAACCUCUGUAGGAUGAUGUGACAUAGGACUUUGCUAGGAAUGGAAAGCAAAAUAAUUCCUCUCCAAUUGCUACAGAUUGAUUUGUCGCCUUUCUUUGGUACUUUAAUGAGGAUUCCUUUACGCCAGUCAUCAGGUAUAUGUUCGUCAUUCCAUAUUUUGUUAAGUAGUUGGUGAAGUUUAUCAAUACAGAUGUUAUCCAUUGCCUUUAUAGCUUCAGGGGGUAUGUUGUCGAUCCCUCCUGCUUUUCCAUUCUUUAGUUGUUUUAUUGCAGCGUUGACCUCUGUUUUAGUUAUAUCUCCUGUCUUGAUAUUCAGGACCUGUCUCCCUUCGAUGGUAGGUGGGUCUGUUGGAGAGGGUCUGUUCAGCACUUCUUCAAAAUGAUAUUUCCAUCGUUUUAAUUGAUCUUCAAUCUUUGUUAACACAUUGCCGUUUUUAUCUUUGACUGUAGCACUUGAGUUUGAUCUUCUUCCAUGCACUUAGUUGUUUUGUGGUGUUGUAGAGAGAUUUUAUGUCUCCUUUGCUACAUGCGAUUUCUGCUUCUUGUGCUAGUUGUUCAAC
RNAcentral lists this long non-coding RNA (662 nucleotides) under Mytilus galloprovincialis (Mediterranean mussel). Lineage: Eukaryota; Metazoa; Mollusca; Bivalvia; Mytilida; Mytilidae. The record is from RNAcentral.